Daphnia magna is the source of this 1120-nucleotide long non-coding RNA. RefSeq lists it as uncharacterized. The record is from RefSeq and is a predicted model, not a curated record. The transcript is spliced from 2 exons. NCBI's taxonomy places the organism in Eukaryota, Metazoa, Arthropoda, Branchiopoda, Diplostraca, Daphniidae.
UACCCAUCACCCUGGAAAUCGAAGAAAUGUCGUCCUUUUAGGGAGAAGGAAAGGUCCCUACUGCUAAACACCAGCGGCAAGGUCUAAACAAAUUAGGCUAGAAACAAUCAAAUUCUACCUUAAAACUGCCGUCAGGUAAGUGACCUUGCAGAUAAGAGGGGAAAAAACUAAUGUUUUUUCAAAAUAAGAAGUGGUGGACGACGUCGGAGAAGGAGAAGCUCUCGUCGAUUGGUUCUGCGAAUCGGAAUUUGAUGACCCGUCCCCUCAUUUUCCGGUUCUUUUGUUUGCAUGUGUCUUCGGACUCCUUCCUUUUCUACGUCUGCGUAAUGCAAUAAAACGUAACAUGUAAAGUUUCAAUUCCUUUUAAUCACGUCCCAAAUGUUAACAUAAUUACACAGCAUAUAGAACAGUAGUUGCAUUACAUUUACACACACACACACACACAUACGGAUAGAUGACAUUGGCUGUUUCCUGUUUCAAAUAAUAUAUAUUUUUUUUAUGAUUUCAAUUUGUUCGUUUAUUAGAAUUUAUAAUUAUCAUUUUUUAUUAUAUUAUAUUUCCAACGAGCAGCAAAUGCGAUAACUUUUCCAUUCAAAAAAGAAACGAAAGAAAAACAAGAAAACCAACGUUGUGUUUGCGUAUGGUAAAUAAUCAAAUUGUGACAUCAAAGCACAUGGAAUUCGUUAUUCAUAGACAUAACAACAAAUUAAGACAUGCACAUAUAUUUCGGUUCAUUCCGUCUUCCCCCUUUCACGUUUGACCAAUUGAGUUUCUUUUGAAUUUCUCGCUAUACAUCUCUCCCCAUUAUCCUAGCCGAACUUUCCAUCAAAAAAUAGAAAAUCACGUCCCAAGCCUCUUUGUAAUUUUUGCUGAUUUUUAAAUGAUCUUUCCUUCUUCUUUGCGAUUGACUAGGAGAUCGCCACUUGGACCUCUCCGCCUUUCCCAUCUAACAUGUAAAAAUAUAACGAGGCGUAUUACAAAGACAUGUGGGUUGAUUAAGAACGAUCUCUCUCUCCAAUAAGCAAAUUGUACAACAAUACAACAUAGUUGUGGCGCCGUCUCUCCGUUUCAUUAGUGAGUGUCUUUGUGUGUGUGUUUCCUUUGUUUCCAUAAGGGGAAA